This 73-nucleotide transfer RNA is filed under the name Acidimicrobiia bacterium. RNAcentral describes it as "tRNA-Thr". It matches the Rfam family "tRNA". From Rfam's summary of the family: Transfer RNA (tRNA) molecules are approximately 80 nucleotides in length. Their secondary structure includes four short double-helical elements and three loops (D, anti-codon, and T loops). Further hydrogen bonds mediate the characteristic L-shaped molecular structure. tRNAs have two regions of fundamental functional importance: the anti-codon, which is responsible for specific mRNA codon recognition, and the 3' end, to which the tRNAs corresponding amino acid is attached (by aminoacyl-tRNA synthetases). tRNAs cope with the degeneracy of the genetic code in two manners: having more than one tRNA (with a specific anti-codon) for a particular amino acid; and 'wobble' base-pairing, i.e. permitting non-standard base-pairing at the 3rd anti-codon position. RNAcentral also lists the same sequence under 3 other names. Lineage: Bacteria; Bacillati; Actinomycetota; Acidimicrobiia. The record is from RNAcentral.
GCCCGGGUAGCUCAGUCGGCAGAGCAGCUCACUCGUAAUGAGCAGGUCAGGAGUUCGAUUCUCCUCUCGGGCU